UACGGGAGGCAGCAGUGGGGAAUAUUGCACAAUGGGCGCAAGCCUGAUGCAGCCAUGCCGCGUGUAUGAAGAAGGCCUUCGGGUUGUAAAGUACCUUCAGUCGUGAGGAAGGUGUUAAGGUUAAUAACCUUAGCAAUUGACGUUAGCGACAGAAGAAGCACCGGCUAACUCCGUGCCAGCAGCCGCGGUAAUACGGAGGGUGCGAGCGUUAAUCGGAAUUACUGGGCGUAAAGGGCACGCAGGCGGUUAAUUAAGUUGGAUGUGAAAUCCCCGGGCUUAACCUGGGAAUGGCAUUCAAGACUGGUUAGCUAGAGUCUUGUAGAGGGGGUAGAAUUCCAUGUGUAGCGGUGAAAUGCGUAGAGAUGUGGAGGAAUACCGGUGGCGAAGGCGGCCCCUGGGACAAAGACUGACGCUCAUGUGCGAAAGCGUGGGGGAGCGAAACAGGGAUUAGAUACC
This 456-nucleotide ribosomal RNA is filed under the name uncultured bacterium. Its description in RNAcentral is "bacterial SSU rRNA". It matches the Rfam family "Bacterial small subunit ribosomal RNA", at positions 340 to 786 of the family's 1533-position model. The record is from RNAcentral.